Molecule: ribosomal RNA, 494 nt
Filed under: uncultured bacterium
Lineage: Bacteria
Description: partial 16S ribosomal RNA
Rfam family: Bacterial small subunit ribosomal RNA
Source: RNAcentral
AUGAACGCUGGCGGCGUGCCUAAUACAUGCAAGUCGAGCGAACGGACGAGAAGCUUGCUUCUCUGAUGUUAGCGGCGGACGGGUGAGUAACACGUGGAUAACCUACCUAUAAGACUGGGAUAACUUCGGGAAACCGGAGCUAAUACCGGAUAAUAUUUUGAACCGCAUGGUUCAAAAGUAAAAGACGGUCUUGCUGUCACUUAUAGAUGGAUCCGCGCUGCAUUAGCUAGUUGGUAAGGUAACGGCUUACCAAGGCAACGAUGCAUAGCCGACCUGAGAGGGUGAUCGGCCACACUGGAACUGAGACACGGUCCAGACUCCUACGGGAGGCAGCAGUAGGGAAUCUUCCGCAAUGGGCGAAAGCCUGACGGAGCAACGCCGCGUGAGUGAUGAAGGUCUUCGGAUCGUAAAACUCUGUUAUUAGGGAAGAACAUAUGUGUAAGUAACUGUGCACAUCUUGACGGUACCUAAUCAGAAAGCCACGGCUAACUACG